CUACGUGCCAGCAGCCGCGGUAAUACGGAAGGUCCAGGCGUUAUCCGGAUUUAUUGGGUUUAAAGGGAGCGUAGGCUGCCGUUUAAGCGUGUUGUGAAAUGUACCGGCUCAACCGGUGAUGUGCAGCGCGAACUGGAUGGCUUGAGUUCGAAGAGGGAAUGCGGAACUCGUGGUGUAGCGGUGAAAUGCUUAGAUAUCACGAGGAACUCCGAUCGCGAAGGCAGCAUUCCGUUUCGUGACUGACGCUGAUGCUCGAAAGUGCGGGUAUCGAACAGGAUUAGAUACCCUGGUAGUCCGCACGGUAAACGAUGGAUGCUCGCUGUUGGAUAUUUUUAUUCAGUGGCUAAGUGAAAGCAUUAAGCAUCCCACCUGGGGAGUACGCCGGCAACGGUGAAACUCAAAGGAAUUGACGGGGGCCCGCACAAGCGGAGGAACAUGUGGUUUAAUUCGAUGAUACGCGAGGAACCUUACCCGGGCU
RNAcentral lists this ribosomal RNA (478 nucleotides) under uncultured bacterium. Its description in RNAcentral is "bacterial SSU rRNA". It matches the Rfam family "Bacterial small subunit ribosomal RNA", at positions 501 to 981 of the family's 1533-position model. The record is from RNAcentral.